RNAcentral lists this transfer RNA (41 nucleotides) under Rhinolophus euryale (Mediterranean horseshoe bat). RNAcentral describes it as "partial tRNA-Pro". Lineage: Eukaryota; Metazoa; Chordata; Mammalia; Chiroptera; Rhinolophidae. The record is from RNAcentral.
CAGCACCCAAAGCUGAAAUUCUACUUAAACUAUUCCUUGAC